GCAGAUCGCCCCAUUCAGCGCACGAGUGUGACGCGGUGACCGAGGAAGUGCUACAUUUCGACGUGUACAUCCUCACGCUGUGCUUCCGGUUAAGCAAAAGCGUGAUCAGUCGUGCUCGGUCUCUCUUCCCUUCCUCGGCUCGCAGUAGAGGCGUCUCGUAGGAUUCUCCCGGUUCCUUUACCUCUUUCUCUUCCCUCCCCAACGGAGUACUCACUCAGUCCAGCGGACAUGGCAUCUGCAGCAGCGGCACAAGUUCAGUCCACCCCAGCUUCAGCUCCACAGCUGCAGAGGGGAAUAGUGAAGACGGUCUUGUCUGGUUGUGCUGUCAUCGUUAGGGGUCAGCCGCGAGGAGGGCCCCCUCCAGAACGACAGAUCAACCUGAGUAACAUCCGAGCCGGAGCUCUCGCCCGUCGCGCAAUUCAGGGUCAACCAGACCACCAAGGACACACCAGAUGAGCCAUGGGCUUCCAGGCAAGAGAGUUUUUGCGCAAGAAGGUAAUCGGCAAAGAGGUCUGCUUCACCGUGGAGAAUAAAACCCCUCAAGGCAGGGAAUACGGCAUUGUCUUCCUGGGAAAAGACACCACAGGCGAAAAUAUCGCAGAGUCCCUGGUGGCCGAAGGUCUUGCCGCAGUUCGCAGAGGAAGGCAUCAGAGGA
Long non-coding RNA from Carassius auratus (goldfish), 655 nucleotides. RefSeq lists it as uncharacterized. The record is from RefSeq and is a predicted model, not a curated record. The transcript is spliced from 4 exons. Lineage: Eukaryota; Metazoa; Chordata; Actinopteri; Cypriniformes; Cyprinidae.